AUACAGAGGGUGCGAGCGUUAAUCGGAAUUACUGGGCGUAAAGGGCACGUAGGUGGUUUGACAAGUUAGCUGUGAAAUACCCGGGCUUAACCUGGGCAGGUCAGCUAAUACUGUCAGACUAGAGUACAGGAGAGGGAAGCGGAAUUCCGGGUGUAGCGGUGAAAUGCGUAGAUAUCCGGAGGAACACCAGUGGCGAAGGCGGCUUUCUGGACCAAUACUGACGCUGAGGUGCGAAAGCGUGGGGAGCAAACAGGAUUAGAUACCCCAGUAGUCC
Molecule: ribosomal RNA, 274 nt
Filed under: uncultured bacterium
Lineage: Bacteria
Description: partial 16S ribosomal RNA
Rfam family: Bacterial small subunit ribosomal RNA
Source: RNAcentral